GCUCCAGUGACCUAGUGGUUAGAGCGUCCGCCUCUGAUGCUAGAGGUAGCGGGUUCGAACCCCGGCCGUGUAAUA
Non-coding RNA from Potamilus streckersoni, 75 nucleotides. The record is from the annotation of a GenBank genome assembly. NCBI's taxonomy places the organism in Eukaryota, Metazoa, Mollusca, Bivalvia, Unionida, Unionidae.